This 569-nucleotide long non-coding RNA is filed under the name Homo sapiens (human). RNAcentral's name for it is "non-protein coding lnc-PRAC2-13:1". Lineage: Eukaryota; Metazoa; Chordata; Mammalia; Primates; Hominidae. The record is from RNAcentral.
UGGCUGUGAACUUGGUCUAAGGCGGACUCUACUGGCAGCUCCGGGAUGUUACAGCCUCUGCCUCUGGUCCAGAGCAGCGGCGGUGCGGACAACCCGUGCGCUUUCGGUUUCCCUUCCGCCCAAAUAUCGCCUCCCAGACCCCCACCUCUCCCUGGGAAGGAUUUCCUUUCUCCCUCCUUGGGAUCCCUUGGGAUUCAGAAAACAGAAAAGAAAACGAAUUAGAGAGAUGCAUGCACCUAAGGACAAGCCUGCAGGAGCCCCGAAAUAGGGUAUCCUCUAUCAUGCCUCCAAAUCCCUCAAGAGGCGACGCCCCACACAGGCUGGCACUUUCCCUCCACUUCUCCCCUAGGUGUGCCUUUCCGUCCUGACUCCCCACCUUUCCAACUGGCCUGGGUCAUCUUUUGGUAAGGCAAAAUGGUCUGGGGCCUGCGAGGUACCUUUCCUCCCUAGAUGCAUUCAGCCCUACCCCACCGGGCUCCGAGGUCAGGGAUCCAGGGAUCGUUGCGACCAAAACCAGCCGCUGUGCUCCGAAGCCGCAAGGCUCAGCCCGGAUCCACUAGGGGAGAGGC